This 1944-nucleotide ribosomal RNA is filed under the name Triticum aestivum (bread wheat). Its description in RNAcentral is "partial small subunit ribosomal RNA". Lineage: Eukaryota; Viridiplantae; Streptophyta; Magnoliopsida; Poales; Poaceae. The record is from RNAcentral.
AUGGAACUGGGACUGGGAGCUCCAACUUCUCCGCCGCCAUGGCGUGGCCAUCUCCUCUUGCGCGCGCUCGUCAUCUUCCUCUGCCUCUGGGUUACAUCUGAGGCAAAUGAACAACAUGUGGAACUACCACCAAGAGGAUGGAAUUCCUAUGAUUCUUUUUCUUGGACGGUUGAUGAAAAUGCAUACUUGCAAAAUGCAAAGAUUUUGGCAGAAAAGUUACUACCACAUGGAUAUCAGUAUGCAGUUAUUGAUUACCUGUGGUACCGGAGGUAUGUUGAUGGGGCAUAUACAGAUUCGUAUGGGUUUGACAACAUUGAUGAGUGGGGUCGACCGUUUCCUGACCUCCAAAGAUUUCCAUCAUCCAAAUAUGAUAAAGGGUUCAGUCAAAUUGCCAAUAAGGUUCAUGAGAUGGGCUUGAAAUUCGGCAUCCAUUUAAUGAAAGGAAUAAGUACACAGGCUGUUAAUGCGAACACACCCAUCUUGGAUAUUGAGACGGGAAAACCCUAUGUAGAGAACGGUCGGCAAUGGGCAGCUCGUGACAUUGGCCUGACCCAUAAAACAUGUGCAUGGAUGCCACAUGGAUUUAUGAGUGUAAAUACGAAUAUUGGAGCUGGACGGGCCUUCUUAAGAUCUCUUUACCGACAGUAUGCGGAUUGGGGUGUUGAUUUUGUGAAGGUUGAUUGUAUCUUCGGUACUGAUUAUAGCCCGGAAGAAGUAAUAACUAUUUCGCAGCUCCUGCAAGAGCUUGACCGCCCAAUAGUACUGUCCAUCUCACCAGGAACUGAAGUCACUGUACCAUUAGCUGAAAACAUCAGUGAACAUGUUAAUAUGUAUAGGAUAACAGGAGAUGAUUGGGACAACUGGAAAGAUGUUAGUUCACAUUUUACUGUGUCAAGUGCCUUCGCUGCUGCGAAUAAGAUCGGGGCCACUGGAUUACGAGGAAAAUCUUGGCCAGAUUUAGACAUGCUUCCAUUUGGCUGGCUAACUGAUCCGGGUGUCAAUCAGGGCCCUCAUAGGCCGUGUAACCUUACAUUUGAUGAACAGAAAGCACAGAUGACACUUUGGUCAAUGGCUAAGUCGCCUCUCAUAUAUGGAGGAGAUCUGAGACAUCUCGACAAUAGUACAUUCAGCAUUAUGACGAAUCCUACUCUAUUGAAGAUAAAUUACUACAGUAAAAAUAACAUGGAGUUCCAUUAUGUGUAUGGUGAGACGACUUCUAAUACCAGACAUUCUGGUCACUUGAGUCCUCAAUAUACUGUAAACCCGACAAAACAUGAUGGCAUGGUCGUGGGUCUCACUUCCUGCACCAAUGACCAAGCUAAUGGAUGGUUUGUAUUUCCACAAGAUGGGAAGUCAGAUCAUAUAUGCAGGAUCUAUGAAACAGAGAAUGGCAAAAAUGUCUCAUUUUGCUUGGGGAAAACAAAACCUCUUCUUGCCUCGGAUGAUGAUAUCAAUGAAAAGGAAGAAGACCAAACAAAGUUCCAUCUGGCAGUUGCAGACAUUAAUGAUUCUUGUUUGGAUGCAUCUGCUAGUCGGCGGCGGACUGCCUCAGAGGUUAAGCUUCUCAUGUUCUCCAGGUGCAAAUGGCAUGCAAGGCAGAUGUGGGAGCUGAAUGACAAGGGUAACCUUGUGAGCAGCUAUUCAAGAUUAUGUGCCACGGUGGAAUCCAGCAAGGAAGCAGUAGGUAUUACUGGAGCUCGUGCAUGGAUUGCAACUGGAAGUAAAGGGGAAAUCUACCUCGCAUUCUUCAACCUUGACUCAGUAAGCCGGAAGAUAACCGCGAGAAUAUCGGACCUGGAAAAGGUUCUUGGGACAGCCUUCGUACGAAAACACUCGUGCAGCUGCAGUGAUGUUUGGAGUGGGAGGAAUCUUGGUCUCGUCGAGGAAGAGAUCUCAGCGGCGGUGAAUCCACACGGUUGCGUGGUGUUCGAACUCAUGUGUUGA